This 813-nucleotide ribosomal RNA is filed under the name uncultured bacterium. Its description in RNAcentral is "SSU rRNA". It matches the Rfam family "Bacterial small subunit ribosomal RNA", at positions 68 to 853 of the family's 1533-position model. The record is from RNAcentral.
GAGGUAUAUAGUUCACUAUUUACUAAGUGAGUCGCGAACGGGUGAGUAACGCGUAGGUAACCUACCUUUAAGCGGGGGAUAACUAUUGGAAACGAUAGCUAAUACCGCAUAAUAUUGAUAAACUCAUGUUAAUCAAUUCGAAAGAUACUACUGUAUCACUUAGAGAUGGACCUGCGUUUGUAUUAGCUAAUAGGUGAGGUAACGGCUUCACCUAGGCUACGAUACAUAGCCGAACCUUGAGAGGGUUGAUCGGCCACACUUGGGACUUGAGACACGGCCCAGAACUCCUACGGGAGGCAGCAGUAGGGAAUCUUUCGGCAAUGGGGGGAACCCUUGACCGAGCAACGCCGCGUGAGUGAAGAAGGUUUUUCGGAUCGUAAAGCUCUGUUGUAAGAGAAGAACGAGUAUGAGAGUGGAAAGUUCAUACUGUGACGGUAUCUUACCAGAAAGGGACGGCUAACUACGUGCCAGCAGCCGCGGUAAUACGUAGGUCCCGAGCGUUGUCCGGAUUUAUUGGGCGUAAAGCGAGCGCAGGCGGUUCUUUAAGUCUGAAGUUAAAGGCAGUGGCUUAACCAUUGUACGCUUUGGAAACUGGAGAACUUGAGUGCAGAAGGGGAGAGUGGAAUUCCAUGUGUAGCGGUGAAAUGCGUAGAUAUAUGGAGGAACACCAGUGGCGAAAGCGGCUCUCUGGUCUGUAACUGACGCUGAGGCUCGAAAGCGUGGGGAGCAAACAGGAUUAGAUACCCUGGUAGUCCACGCCGUAAACGAUGAGUGCUAGGUGUUAGGCCCUUUCCGGGGCUUAGUGCCGCAGCU